GCCGAUAUAUGCAACUUAUUCUUCAAGGACCAAGGACCAAGGCUUUCUUUAGUGUUUGGCUUUCGCAAACAGAGUGGACUAUCUUUUAUGUUCGGUUUGAUGAAAGGAGCUCCAGACCUGCACCUUGUGCAUAUACUUACUGUUAUGACUUUGUAGAGCUGGAGUUACUGAACUUGCAAUAGAUUACCUACGCAUGAUGAGAUGGAAAAACCAGCCUCUUAGUGCGUACAGUUGUAUUGCUGUUAUAAUGGAAUCCAACAGGAGAUGCAUGAUAAUAACAUGACUGCUAUCAGGAUUCAGGAGUCUGAUGGAGGAUACUUGCAAGGUUGUUCUGUAGAGCUACUGUUUACUUUCUUUAAAUUACUAAAGACAUAGGUAUGUUGGCUGAUUUGCUGACUUGCAAAUCUAUUAUUCAGAGGUACUGCAGUGAACCUACAGUGCGGGCUUUUGCAAAGGUGAACCGGCAAAAUAAUUAAUGUUUAUUUCUUUAAUGCUUAAGCUGUAUAAUACUAUAAUUCUUUAAUGAAGCUUGCAAACCACUGAGCAAAAUGAUUAUAAAGAGCAUGGAGUCGGACAAGGUUACUUACACAUCAGUUAUAUCUGGGUUCUGCAGAUCUGAAGACAUGAAAGAAUCUUAUACGAUCUUCACAUAAAUGUUGCAAAGAGUUCAUGUUUCCUUAGCUGUUACUUAUACAUUUCUAAUUGAUGGAUGCUGCAAGGCGCUUCGCAUUGAUGAUGCUAAUAUUUGUUCAGAAAGAAAAAUUCACUUGAUUUUAUCUCUUAGAGUAUUCUGAUUGAUAGUUAUUAUAGGUCAAGGAAAGGUAGAUAAAGCUAGUGAGGUAUUUCAGGAAAUAAAAGCCUUGAUCUGUCCUAGAGGAAAUGAUCUUGAGAAUGUGUAUAGAAAUACAUCCGCUACCAAAGAAGGCUCGAAAAAUUACCAAAUUCUAAAGGAUGAUAAGAUGGAAUGAGAACCAGAUUAUCAAGCACAAGUUUGUGACAGCCCUAGGACCUGGGGCUUACUCUUUGGUUUGAUCUAGAAGAAUUGGAAGGACAGGAAGAAGAUAGAUUCUUAACUAAAGGUAUCAAUGACUGCACAACAUCUGUCAUUAGAGGACGAUAAUCAGCUUCAGUCUGCACGCACAUGGCCGCAAUUGCAGCUAUCUGUAUAUGACCAUAGAGCAAUCAUUACAAGUCUCAUCCGUCGGAGCAUGACUGUUAUAAAUAAUAUCGCAAGGAGUAAGAUGAUUAUUGUAAUCGGCAUUACAACAAGAAGAAUGGUAGUGGAAGGGAGAAUAUCAUGGUGGUGACUGUGUGCUGCAAGCUGUGGCGU
Long non-coding RNA from Daucus carota subsp. sativus, 1330 nucleotides. RefSeq lists it as uncharacterized. NCBI's taxonomy places the organism in Eukaryota, Viridiplantae, Streptophyta, Magnoliopsida, Apiales, Apiaceae. The record is from RefSeq and is a predicted model, not a curated record. The transcript is spliced from 5 exons.